CAGAGGUUGAGACUUGUCUAAAGUAACAUGACCAGUAAGUGCUUGAAUUAAUGCAGGUAGGUAGUGAUGGGUAUGUUCUAAUCUGCCAAGGGCUUUUCCUUGCUGUCAUCUGGCUUGAGUUCUAAGGAUAUAAAUUCACAUAGCCAAAAUGGUAGGGAACCAGAAAGGUAAUGAGUAGAUGGACUUUAGGACUACACUAGGGAAAUGGUGCUGCUGUUCUUUUUAAUUUCUUCCUUUUUGUUCUUUUUGUUUGGUUUCUAACCUGUUAGUAAUGAUAAGCAGAUACCGUCUUUGGUUGUUUCUGUUAGAUGAAUGAAGCUUUUGUUUUAACUGUAGAUUAUCCCUGAGGAACUAGGGAAAUGGGAAAUCUGGAGAGAAGUCUGUUGGGAUUCUCACAGGGAAUAGCUAUUAGAUCAACUAAGCAAAUGAAAAAGUUAAUAGUAUAUGGAUAAACCACAUGUGUGUAAUUGGAACUUUUUAGGAUUCUAAGAUUUUUAAAAUCUUGUUUAAAAACUGUAUUAUCACCUUAAUAUAAAAAUCUUAGCGCUUGAGCGUUACUUACCCAACUGUGGUUUUCUUUAGAUGAGGAAACUGAGGUCCAGAGAAGUUGAAGCUUUCCCAAGGUCACACAGCAGAGCUGGAACUAGAGCUUGCAUUUCCUGACUUCCAGAUUAGUGUUAUUUUUACUUCAAACUAUUACUUCUUGGUGAGUUAUUGUGGGAAAAAUCCUGUAUAUUGAAGAUGUCUCUACACAGUAUCGUUUCCUGUUUAAAUUACAGAUAACUUGAAGAGUUUUCAGAAAAAAAGAAAUUGGGACUUUUUUGGUUAAAUCAUGCCAUCUGAACAGAAACAGUUAUUUUGUGAUGAAAAACAAACUACUUUAAAAAAAGAUUAUGAUGUGAAAAAUGAGAUAGUUGAUAGGUUGGCCCCUAAACCAAAAAUUUCAGAAAGUAUUCAUUAUGAACUAAAAAAUGUGAAAAUUGAUUUGCCAAAAAUAAAUAUUCCAAAUGAAGUCCUAUUGAAACAUGAAGUUGACAAAUACAGAAAAUUAUUUCAGAGUAAACAGCAGACUGCAAGAAAAUCUAUCAGUAUAAAGACUGUAAGCUGUGUAGAGGAGUGUACAUUGCUUCAUAAGUCUGAGAGAGCUGAAGAAGAGGGUAUAAAAAUGUCUGCAAAAAUACUCAAUUUCAGCUGUUUAAAAUGCCGAGACAACACUCGAUAUAGCCCAAAUGAUUUGCAGAAACACUUUCAAAUGUGGCACCAUGGCGAAUUACCUUCAUAUCCUUGUGAAAUGUGCAACUUUUCAGCAAAUGACUUUCAGGUAUUUAAACAACACAGACGAACCCAUAGAAGCACUUUAGUAAAAUGUGAGAUUUGUAACAAUGAGAGUGUAUAUACUUUACUGAACUUGACAAAGCAUUUCACAUCCACACAUUGUGUUAAUGGUAAUUUUCAAUGUGAAAAGUGUAAGUUCUCCACCCAGGAUGUUGGCACAUUUGUUCAGCACAUUCAUAGACAUAAUGAAAUUCAUUAUAAAUGUGGUAAAUGUCAUCAUGUAUGUUUUACCAAAGGAGAGCUUCAGAAGCACCUUCAUAUUCAUUCUGGUACUUUUCCCUUCACUUGUCAAUAUUGUAGCUAUGGUGCCACCAGGAGAGAACACCUUGUAAGACAUGUUAUAACUUUGCACAAAGAACAUUUAUAUGCAAAAGAAAAACUGGAAAAAGACAAAUAUGAAAAAAGAAUGGCAAAGACUUCUGCAGGACUUAAGCUAAUACUGAAAAGAUAUAAAAUAGGUGCAUCAAGGAAGACAUUCUGGAAACGUAAGAAAAUUAACAGUGGAAGUGACAGAAGUAUAGAAAAGAACACUCAAGUGCUUAAGAAAAUGAACAAAACACAGACUAAAUCUGAAGACCAGAGCCAUGUUGUUCAAGAGCAUUUAAGUGAAGAAAAGGAUGAAAGACUACACUGUGAGAAUAAUGAUAAAGCCCCUGAAUCAGAGUCAGAGAAGCCAACUCCUCUGUCCACUGGGCAAGGUAAUAGAGCUGAAGAGGGACCAAACGCUAGUUCAGGUUUCAUGAAGACUGCUGUACUAGGACCUACACCGAAAACUGUAAUGCUGAAAAAUAAUAAAAUAGCAGUUCCCCCUAACUAUAGUGCUAAGUUCAUGGGCUUCAAGAUGAUGGAUGGAAAACAGCAUAUUGUAUUAAAAUUGGUGCCUAUCAAACAAAAUGUAUGUUCACCAGACUCACACUCAGGUGCUGCAAAGGACAGUACUGCUAAUUUGCAGGCGCAGACUUUGGACACUAAUGGAUUUUUAACAGGAGUAACAACUGAGUUAAAUGACACAGUUUAUAUGAAAGCAACUACUCCAUUUUCAUGUUCAUCUUCUAUACUUUCAGGGAAAGCAAGUUCAGAAAAAGAAAUGACUUUGAUAUCUCAAAGGAAUAAUAUGCUUCAAACAGUGGAUUAUGAGAAAAGUGUAUCUUCUUUGUCAGCAACAUCAGAAUUGGUUACAGCAUCAGUGAAUUUGACCACAAAAUUUGAAACAAGAGAUAAUGUUGACUUCUGGGGAAAUCAUCUCACUCAGAGUCACCCCGAGGUAUUAGGUACCACCAUUAAAAGUCCAGAUAAAGUCAACUGUGUUGCCAAACCAAAUACAUACAACAGUGGAGAUAUGCAUAAUUAUUGCAUUAAUUAUGGCAACUCUGAGUUACCUGUUGAAUCCUCCAACCAAGGAUCAUUACCUUUUCAUAAUUACUCAAAAGUGAAUAAUUCUAAUAAACGUCGUAGGUUUUCAGGAACAGCAGUGUGUGAAAACCCUCAAAGAGAAUCUUCAUCCAGCAAAACAGUUGUCCAACAACCAAUUAGUGAAUCAUUUUUAUCACUAGUGAGGCAGGAGAGCUCAAAACCAGAUAGUCUGUUAGCAUCUAUUAGCCUUUCAAAUGAUAAAGAUGGGACUUUAAAAGCAAAAUCUGAAAUUGAAGAACAGUAUGUUUUAGAAAAAGGACAAAACAUUGAUGGACAAAACCUGUACAGUAAUGAAAAUCAAAAUUUAGAGUGUGCGACUGAAAAAUCUAAAUGGGAAGACUUUUCUAAUGUCGAUUCACCUAUGAUGCCUAGAAUCACAUCUGUUUUCUCUCUCCAGAGCCAACAGGCAUCAGAAUUUCUGCCACCUGAAGUAAACCAAUUGCUUCAGGAUGUAUUGAAAAUAAAACCUGAUGUAAAACAAGAUUCUAGUAACACUCCAAAUAAAGGCCUGCCACUUCAUUGUGACCAGUCAUUUCAAAAACAGGACGGAGAAAGCAAAAUUGUUGAGUCUUCGAAAGAUUUCAAAGUGCAAGGCAUCUUCCCGGUUCCACCUGGCAGUGUGGGUAUUAAUGUGCCUACAAAUGAUUUGAAUUUGAAAUUUGGAAAAGAAAAACAAGUUUCAUCAAUGCCACAAGAUGUGAGAGAUUCAGAGAAGAUGCCUAGAAUUUCAGGUUUUGGCACAUUACUUAAGACUCAGUCAGAUGCGAUAAUAACACAGCAGCUUGUAAAAGACAAACUACGAGCCACCACACAAAAUUUAGGUUCUUUUUAUAUGCAGAGUCCACUUUUAAAUUCAGAACAAAAAAAAACUAUAAUUGUUCAGACUUCAAAAGGAUUCUUAAUACCAUUGAACAUUACUAACAAGCCUGGGCUACCGGUUAUUCCUGGAAAUGCACUUCCAUUGGUUAAUUCACAAGGUAUCCCUGCUUCUCUUUUUGUAAACAAGAAACCUGGGAUGAUUUUAACACUUAAUAAUGGGAAACUUGAAGGUGUUUCCGCUGUCAAAACCGAGGGUGCCCAAGCUCGUGGAACUAUGACUAAGGAGCCUUGCAAAACACCUAUUUUGAAGGUAGAACCAAACAGUAAUUGUCUUACACCUGGACUUUGUUCCAGCAUUGGCAGUUGUUUGAGCAUGAAAAGUAGCUCAGAAAAUACUUUGCCAUUAAAAGGCCCUUACAUUUUGAAACCAACGAGUUCUGUGAAAGCUGUUCUUAUUCCUAACAUGCUAUCUGAGCAACAGAGCACUAAGUUGAAUAUCUCCGAUUCAGUAAAACAGCAGAAUGAGAUUUUUCCAAAACCACCUCUUUAUACCUUCUUGCCUGAUGGCAAACAAGCUGUUUUUUUAAAGUGUGUGAUGCCAAAUAAAACUGAGCUGCUUAAGCCCAAAUUAGUCCAAAAUAGUACUUAUCAAAAUAUACAGCCAAAGAAACCUGAAGGAACACCACAAAGAAUAUUGCUGAAAAUUUUUAACCCUGUUUUAAAUGUGACUGCUGCUAAUAAUCUGUCAGUAAGCAACUCUGCAUCCUCAUUGCAAAAAGACAACGUACCAUCUAAUCAGAUUAUAGGAGGAGAGCAGAAAGAGCCAGAAUCUUCUAGAGAUGCCUUACCCUUCUUACUAGAUGACUUAAUGCCAGCAAAUGAAAUUGUGAUAACUUCUACUGCAACAUGCCCAGAAUCUUCUGAGGAACCAAUAUGUGUCAGUGACUGUUCAGAGUCCAGGGUAUUAAGGUGUAAAACAAAUUGUACAGUUGAGAGGAACUUCAAUAGAAAAAAGACUUCCAAAAAAAUUUUUUCAAAAACAAAAACUCAUGGAAGUAAAGACUCUGAAACUGCCUUUGUAUCUAGAAACAGAAACUGUAAACGAAAGUGUAGGGAUAGUUACCAAGAACCUCCAAGAAGAAAAGCAACAUUGCAUAGAAAGUGUAAAGAAAAGGCAAAACCUGAAGAUGUCCAUGAAACAUUUGGAUUUAGCAGACCUAGGCUUUCAAAAGAUUCCAUCAGAACUUUGCGGCUUUUCCCUUUUAGUUCUAAACAGCUUGUGAAAUGUCCUAGGAGAAACCAACCAGUUGUAGUUUUGAAUCAUCCUGACGCAGAUGCACCAGAAGUAGUAAGUGUAAUGAAAACUAUUGCUAAAUUUAAUGGACAUGUACUUAAGGUUUCAUUGUCGAAAAGAACUAUAAAUGCUUUACUGAAACCGGUUUGUUAUAACCCUCCUAAAACAACUUAUGAUGAUUUUUCCAAGAGGCACAAAACAUUUAAACCUGUUAGUUCUGUGAAAGAAAGAUUUGUGCUAAAAUUAACACUCAAAAAGACAAGCAAAAACAAUUACCAGAUUGUGAAGACUACCUCUGAAAAUAUUUUGAAGGCUAAAUUUAACUGUUGGUUUUGUGGUAGAGUAUUUGACAAUCAGGAUACUUGGGCUGGUCAUGGGCAGAGACAUUUAAUGGAAGCUACUCGGGAUUGGAACAUGUUAGAAUAGUUUACCAUAAUUACCAAGGAAAAGAAAAGUAAAAUUACCUUAGAAGAAAACAACGGGUUGAAUUACCAUAAUGCAGACAUUUUCUACUUCAGUAUAAUACCUGAAAUUGAACAUUUUAAAAGUUGAUUAUAUUUCUGUGGAAGAGUAAAAGUUGUAUGUAUGAUAUUUGAAAAUGGUAUCCCUGCACUCAAAAGUUUUGAAAGAAACUAAUCACAGCACAGAAGUACCUUGAUUUAAUUUUUUAAACAUGUGUUCUUGGGAAGUUAGGGCUAAAGAAAAUUUUGAUAAAACAAUUUUCCCACUUUAGUUCUUUAGUGACUCUUAGUAGAGGGUAAUGGCUGACACCCCCAUUCCCUCUCUUCUUCCACCAGCCUUACGCAUCUAAGUGUAGCUCCUCUGGAGAUGGAGAGCUCUUUCAUCAUAGAACUGAAGGAGUUUCUCACAUUUGUGAAGAUACUUUGAGAGAGCUUGGGUAAAGAAGUCACUCUAUGUCUGCUAAAUAUAGUUAUUUUGAAGGAUAUUAGGCUCCUUGAAAUUACAUUUAACUCACUACAGUUACACCUCAUACAAUGCUUGAAGAGUUCUUGGCAAGUAAAUUUUUUUUCCAGUUGAACUCUGUCACUUGUUAGAGAUUGGGAAUACUCUCCCAAGGUGAUUUUCUUUUUCUAAAUGACUAUGUCAAAUGUUGCAGUAGAUGGGCAGCUUCAAGAGAAGAAUUUAAACUCUUUGUCUCAUUGAAAGUUUGGUUAAAGAAAUUGAACAUAGUUCUGAAUUUGAUUAUAUUCUCUGAUGAUCCCCUUGCACAGAACUAUGCUUAUCUCAUUUGUCCUCCAUAAACAAAUGGCCAUUUUUUUCUUCUUGGUUCCCAUCCGUUUAAAAAGAAUGGAACAUAGGAGCACUUCCAAGGGAGUGGCUUUUCUUGAAAGUUAAAAUUUUUUACCAAAACAGUAUUUUGAAGCAAGAUCAUAUUUUUGUCUGUAUUCACUUUAUUAUUUGAACAUGUCCAAAUUAGGACAAAGCAUUUCUGUUAGCUGCUUCUCAGUGUGACUGACAACCCAAAACAUACACAGAUUGUUGGCAUUUGAAAAAGGAAGCAUCAAUAGUGGACCCAGAGGCAGUGCAUAAAACCUUAGGAUAGAUUCCUAAGGGACACGCCCAACAGAGUUUUAAAAUGGAUGUUUUCAUGAUGACAACAGAAUCAUAGAUUUAGAUUUUUCACCUUGUAAGUUUGGAUCAAAUUUUGCUGGAUCUUUGGAUAAUGGAGUUCUUGUGUUAAAAAAUUACGUGCUAUAUGAUUUUUUGUUACAUUGUUACAAGUGUUAAUGACAUUUUCAUUAAUGGAUGAAAACUUCAGGGCUUCUUUUCUGUAUAUAACAAAUUAAGUCUGUACAUAUUUUUGUACCUUUUAUGUAAAUUUUGCACAGACAUUUUUGGCAUAAGUUUAUUUUCUUUCAGUUUAGUUCAGUGCAUGCACUAAUAAAACUGGUUGUUUAAUUUAAAAGGAAUAUAUAAGACUUUACCCAUGUUAUUUUUUUGGUUUUUAUUUCAGAUGUAGAUUUUGUUUUUGAGGUAAAUUCGUUCUUCAGGGAUUGAACACUAUUGUUAGCAAGUGCCUAAAAAAGAUGUGAAACAGUUUACAUAUGUCAACUGUAACAGUAGGUCCCAAAUGGGCCCAUUCCCCUAAUAGUUUUAUUUUAAAGAAAGCCAUACAUAGAAUGCUUCAAGCUAUCUUGCUAUGCACAUUAUACUUGUACUGUUUUGUGCAGUUUGUCUACUUUCUUAGUGAAGUAUUUUUUGUAUAAAAUGUUACAAUUGUGUUUCUUAAAUUGAGCCUAAGAAUGGAGUUAAUUGGAAAUAUACAGUAUAUAUUAAUAAUGUAUAUGGUGUUUAAAGAAUGGUAAGCAUUGUUAAUUUCUGUAAUGAACAUUUUCAAUUAAAUUUAUCUUAAGUUUGUGUUUACACAAGAAUUUUUUUACUGUGCUAAAAUCUAAUGGAAAUUUUGUUCUUUAGGAAAUACAGAUUUUAAAGUGAUGUGUUUUUUCAAUGCUAGUUAACUAUACAAGAUAGAUAAAGUGUGGGAUUUUUUUUCUUCCCAUAAUCAUAGAUGAUAUAUUGUUUAAGAAAGGUAACAUAUACCAUAAUUUUACUAUCAUUAUGCUGGCAAGGUAAGCCAUAGAGAGGCUUAUAGACUUCAGUAUCCUAACAGCAAUAAAAUUAAAAUGCCCUGUUUGUCACAUAUAGAUCUGUUAUGAGGCAUCACCUGCUGUAAAUAGCAAGGAGAGAGAGGGAACUUUCCUGCUAAUAUUUGCAGCACUAUAAAAUUACAUUUCAGAAUAGCCAUUUCAGGAAAAUGUCGAGAUACGUACUUCUUGCCUUAAAGUUUUAACAGCCAUUUAAAGUAAGCUUUGUGCUCCAGAUAUUCUAGUUGGAACUUUUUCUGAUUUUGUUAACUUAGGUUAUUCUGAGGGAGGCAAACCUGCUUAGAGCUUCAUUAUUGCCAUUGCAGAAAAUUCAGAACAAAAGCCUGUAUCCUUUAUUUUUUUGUGUGGCUUUCCAAAGAGGGCUUUCCAAAAUAUGAUAUUCAGUAGUUCGAGGUUCUUAUUACAAUUGAAGAGUUAGUUUUAGUUUUGCAGUUGAAUUUCUGGGUGAGGAAUUUGUUUUAUUUUUUCCAGUCCAUCUCCACUGAAAUGGGUUUCUCACUAUUUGGCAAGUACUUAAAAAACAUAAUUCACUUUUCAAAGAAUUUAUCUUGCUAAGUAUUCAGUAACACAAAUUGAAAUGUAAUAGUUUUUUUAAUGGAAAAUAUUUUCAUUGAGGGGUUAGCAAAUUUUUUCAAUAAAGGGUCAGAUAAAUAAGCUUCGUAGGCCUUCUAGUUUCUGUCCUAACUACUCAAUUCUCAUAAUGCAGAAAAAACCAUAGACAAUAUAUAAAUGAAUUAGUGUGGCUAUGUUUUAAUAAAACAAUUUACAAAAACA
This 8262-nucleotide small RNA is filed under the name Pongo abelii (Sumatran orangutan). RNAcentral describes it as "retained intron". Lineage: Eukaryota; Metazoa; Chordata; Mammalia; Primates; Hominidae. The record is from RNAcentral.